This is a long non-coding RNA of Phyllopteryx taeniolatus (common seadragon), 471 nucleotides long. RefSeq lists it as uncharacterized. The record is from RefSeq and is a predicted model, not a curated record. Lineage: Eukaryota; Metazoa; Chordata; Actinopteri; Syngnathiformes; Syngnathidae. The transcript is spliced from 3 exons.
UCAACUGCUUGCCAGCCAAUCGCAGGCCACACAGAAACAAACAACCGGAACUGUGAGGCAGACGCUGACCAGUCGUCCACCGUGCCGCCUUGAGUAAGCUUGCUUUGUUGAAAAUGGAUCGGUAGGAACUGUGUCAGGGUGUCAACAUCAAAGCUGGAUGAUGCGUGGCUGCUGCUCCGUUGAGCCCGGGAUCGAUAUACCGGAAACCAGUUCAAUCUGGGUGUGUCUGUGGUAUUACUGCUGCACUGUCGCCUGGAAGAAAAGAGAGACGAGAGCAGCGAUUACAGCAGAAGACGGCGAGGCCGAGCAAGCUCAACAAUACGACUGCGACAAAUGGCGGCCCACAACAACGCAACGCAGAGCAAGGCCGAGGAGGAUUGAUCCAAGACAAGACAAGAUAAUAGGGCUGACUUUAAGUUUUGGUCCAUUUUUUUCCCUACCCACUUCCACUCUAAUAAAUGCUUUCCCAGA